UGGGCGAAAAGUGUAAAAACUGCGAAAUUGAGGGUUCUAGCCGAGAAAAAUUUCAUUUGGUGGACUAAAACUGUUUUUCAAAUAACUUUGGGCUGAAAAAAUAAUUUUUCUACAAGUUUUGAUACUAAAGUGUCAAGAAAAAUAGUUUGAGGACUAAAAUAGAAAUUAUUUUAUAUAAAGGGUUAAAUGUGUAAAUUAUUCAAAAGAAAAGGGGCUGCAAUAAUGAAACAUCCUAAAGUUUUAAAUAAUAAACCCGUCAUGAUGAAAUACUAGCAUCUCGACUAUCGGCAAAUUAUAAUACACCUUCAACACCAAAAAUCGUUAUCAAACGAAUUGAUUCGGUCUCGAAUCAAUAAUGAAUCCGAAAUUACUAACACGACGAAACUUCAAUACACACGCGGAAAAUUCGGGAAGUCAAUACACACGUGAGAAUACACCAGACGUCGAUACACCGUCUUUGGGCCCAAAAGUUUCAAAUCAUGUUUGUUGGGCCUAGCUAGCCCAAUGGCAUGAUCUUUAGGCCCGAAGGAAACUCGCUUACAUGUAGUUGGGUCUUAUAUGACCUAAUUUCGUGUAAAAGGACUUUUACAGGCUUUGUGCUGUUGGACCCCAAGGGCCNUUUGAUGUAUUUAUGAAAUUAGGGUUUAUAGAACCCAUUUAGUGAUUUGAUGAAGAAAUGCCUUGUUACCCCACGAUUAUAGUCUUGUAUUAGGACCUUUAGAGGUCCAGAAGGUCCCAUGCAUGUGUACUUCGGGACGAGACCUAUCCCAGGAAGCAGUUACUCGUCUGCAUGGCAUGGACUCGCCGAGUUGUUCUUCAGACUCGGCGAGUAGCUUGAAGAUGUGCUGGGACUCGCCGAGUUGUUCAUCAGACUCGGCGAGUGGAGUCGGGGUGGCCCCGCGAUUCUUCCACGAGGACCUCGUCGAGUCAAGAGGUAUACUCGACGAGUAGAAAGGGAAUAUUCAGGAAUCUGUGAGGACGACUAGACUCGCCGAGUCGCCAUGGUACUCGCCGAGUCCAGUCGAGUUGACCGUUGACCGUUGACCAGAGUUGACCUAAGUCUGACUUCUUAGGGAUAGUCACACUUAGAUGAUAUGAGUGUUAAUGAGUUAUGUAAUGUUAUAGGAGGAUUGUAGCUCGUUGGUUUGUGCGCGAGUGAUUUCAGGAGUUGCUAGCUUUCAGCACUUACGAGGUGAGUCUUCUCACUAUACUCCACCCGGAGGGGUUUGACUGUGUGACCGGAAGGUCAAGUAUGUUAUGUAUUAUGUUUAUAUGCUAUAAGUGGUAAGUUAAGUGUUAUAUGGAUAUGUAUGCUAUAAGUGGUAAGUUAAGUGUUAUAUGGAUUUGUAUGCUAUAUGUGGUAAGUUAAGUGUUAUAUGUGCUAUGUAUGAUAUGUGGGCCGGAAGGCAAUAUGUUAUGGGCCGGAAGGCGAUUAUGUUAUGGGCCGGAAGGCGUUGUAAUGAGGACCAGAAGGUCAGGGCCUGGAAAGGCGUAUGUGUGUAAGUGUAUAUUGGGGAACUCACUAAGCAUUUAUGCUUACAGUUGUUGUGUAUGUAUGUAUUUCAGGUACUAGCGAGGACCGUGGGAAGGCGCCGGCAUGAUCGAUACACACUGAAGAUUGUUUUAGGAUCUUGGGAGUUUGAAUAAUUGUACUGACCGAAUAAUUAAACUAUUUAUGCCUUGUUUUUAAUGGAAAAUAUUAUGUUUUAAAAAUGAAAAAUUUGUUUGAAAAAUUUGAGUUGUUACAAAAAUAAUUUUCUACAAGUUUUGAUACUAAAGUGUCAAGAAAAAUAGUUUGAGGACUAAAAUAGAAAUGAUUUUAUAUAGAGGUUAAAUGUGUAAAUUAUUCAAAAGAAAAGGGGCUGCAAUAAUGAAACAUCCUAAAGUUUUAAAUAAUAAAUCCGUCAUGAUGAAAUACUAGCAUCUCGACUAUCGGCAAAUUAUAAUACACCUUCAACACCAAAAAUCGUUAUCAAACGAAUUGAUUCGGUCUCGAAUCAAUAAUGAAUCCGAAAUUACUAACACGACGAAACUUCAAUACACAUGCGGAAAAUUCGGGAAGUCAAUACACUCGUGAGAAUUCACCAGACGUUGAUACACCGUCUUUGGGCCCAAAAGUUUCAAAUCAUGUUUGUUGGACCUAGCUAGCCCAAUGGCAUGAUCUUUAGGCCCGAAGGAAACUCGCUUAGAUGUAGUUGGGUCUUACAUGACCUAAUUUCGUGUAAAAGGACUUUUAUAGGCUUUGUGUUGUUGGACCCCAAGGGCCUUCUGGUGCUGCUAGUAAAGUCGAGAAUUCACCAAAUGCGAGUCGGGCUAAGGGCCGUUCGCAUUCACGAUAGCCUUGAACGACUUACGGAAAAUAUCGGGGCUUCGCACCCUCUUUUCCUCCUCGGUCGUGGGGCUACAUGAAGUCCGGGUGUUUGGAUUAAGUGAAUAGUGCGAGCGACGCCUAAGGGAUCGUUUGUAUGGUUGUAAACUAGUCAUUUUCACUAAUGUGUGUUUAUAACAAUUCACAAUCCAUAAUUAAUCCAACAUCACCGGGACUCAACGAAUACACCUGUCAUAACGAAAUAACAAGAUACAAAUUAUUUGAUGCAAAGUAUUAGGAAAACAUCGAGUUUUCCUAGGGUUUUCAAUUAAUACACCUACGAGUUACAUAACGAGUUUUACAAAUCGCUCUUUUACAUUUAUAGAAACAAACAAGCAUACUUACGGAUCUUCACACUUUUUAUACUAAGUUCUUUUCAGAAAAUAUCGAAUUUUCUGGUGAUUUUCAAAACAAUACAAACCACUAUAUUUCAAACAUUACUUAUGAACUCACCAACAUUUCAUAUGUUGACGUUUUUCAAGAUACUUGUAUUCUCAGGUAACAGGUAAACCGAAGGAAAAAAUGUACUCAGUGAUGUCUUAUUGUUU
This 2916-nucleotide long non-coding RNA is filed under the name Lactuca sativa (garden lettuce). RNAcentral's name for it is "long non-coding RNA (LSAT_LNC005201)". The record is from RNAcentral. Lineage: Eukaryota; Viridiplantae; Streptophyta; Magnoliopsida; Asterales; Asteraceae.